GUGUGUACCCGCCGCGAAAGCAAGUACGGUAACACUCGUUGCUGCGUGUGCACUGCUUGGCCUAAAAUUUUAUCUCCACAGUUCUUUUCUCUUCGUUCUGUGGUUUUUCUGUAGAUUUUUGGAUAUAUUUUCUCCUUUUGAGUGAUUUUUACUUUCUUUCAAGGUUUUAAAAGCCUAUUUUUUCGUUAUUGAACGUUAUCCACUUGCUGCCCUCUAUA
Molecule: non-coding RNA, 218 nt
Organism: Caenorhabditis elegans
Lineage: Eukaryota; Metazoa; Nematoda; Chromadorea; Rhabditida; Rhabditidae
Source: Ensembl